GUCUACGGCCAUGCCACCCUGAACAAGCCUGAUGUCUGAUCUUGGAAGCUAAGCAGGGCUGGACCUGGUUAGUACUUGGAUAGAAGACCACCUAGGAAGACCAGGUGCUGUAGGCA
RNAcentral lists this ribosomal RNA (116 nucleotides) under Pteropus alecto (black flying fox). Lineage: Eukaryota; Metazoa; Chordata; Mammalia; Chiroptera; Pteropodidae. The record is from RNAcentral.